RNAcentral lists this ribosomal RNA (388 nucleotides) under Metalinhomoeus sp. 14L17C15. Its description in RNAcentral is "SSU rRNA". It matches the Rfam family "Eukaryotic small subunit ribosomal RNA", at positions 40 to 424 of the family's 1831-position model. The record is from RNAcentral. Lineage: Eukaryota; Metazoa; Nematoda; Chromadorea; Monhysterida; Linhomoeidae.
CAAGAUUAAGCCAUGCAUGUCUAAGCACAAGCUUAAACAAAGUGAAGCCGCGAAUAGCUCAUUACAACAGCCAUUGUUUACUUGAUCUUGAAAUCCUACUUGGAUAACUGUGGUAAUUCUAGAGCUAAUACACGCAACCAAGCUCUGACCCUUCGGGGGACGAGUGCAUUUAUUAGAACAAAACCAAACGGACCUCGGUCCGCCCAUUGGUGAAUCUGAAUAACUCAGCAGAUCGCACGGUCUUGCACCGGCGACGCAUCUUUCAAGUGUCUGCCUUAUCAACUGUUGAUGGUAGUUUAUGCGACUACCAUGGUUGUAACGGGUAACGGAGAAUAAGGGUUCGACUCCGGAGAGGGAGCCUGAGAAACGGCUACCACAUCCAAGGAAG